Small nucleolar RNA from Ornithorhynchus anatinus (platypus), 141 nucleotides. The record is from RefSeq and is a predicted model, not a curated record. NCBI's taxonomy places the organism in Eukaryota, Metazoa, Chordata, Mammalia, Monotremata, Ornithorhynchidae.
ACCCUCUCAGGAUCACACCUGGGGAGCUUCCAGUACUCUACCAGUCUCGAGACUGUUAGGAGGGAGAGUCAAGCAGAGGCCUACCCAUUCCAUCCCUAGCUUGAGCAGUGGCUAGCAAGUGGAAGACAAUCUGCUACAAGU